Molecule: ribosomal RNA, 486 nt
Filed under: uncultured bacterium
Lineage: Bacteria
Description: partial 16S ribosomal RNA
Rfam family: Bacterial small subunit ribosomal RNA
Source: RNAcentral
AUUGAACGCUGGCGGCAUGCCUUACACAUGCAAGUCGAACGGCAGCACGGGUGCUUGCACCUGGUGGCGAGUGGCGAACGGGUGAGUAAUACAUCGGAACAUGUCCUGUAGUGGGGGAUAGCCCGGCGAAAGCCGGAUUAAUACCGCAUACGAUCCACGGAUGAAAGCGGGGGACCUUCGGGCCUCGCGCUAUAGGGUUGGCCGAUGGCUGAUUAGCUAGUUGGUGGGGUAAAGGCCUACCAAGGCGACGAUCAGUAGCUGGUCUGAGAGGACGACCAGCCACACUGGGACUGAGACACGGCCCAGACUCCUACGGGAGGCAGCAGUGGGGAAUUUUGGACAAUGGGCGUAAGCCUGAUCCAGCAAUGCCGCGUGUGUGAAGAAGGCCUUCGGGUUGUAAAGCACUUUUGUCCGGAAAGAAAUCCUUGACUCUAAUACAGUCGGGGGAUGACGGUACCGGAAGAAUAAGCACCGGCUAACUACGUG